This 977-nucleotide ribosomal RNA is filed under the name uncultured bacterium. Its description in RNAcentral is "bacterial SSU rRNA". It matches the Rfam family "Bacterial small subunit ribosomal RNA", at positions 11 to 954 of the family's 1533-position model. The record is from RNAcentral.
GUUUGAUCCUGGCUCAGGACGAACGCUGGCGGCGUGGAUAAGGCAUGCAAGUCGAACGCGAACGGAGCAACUAAUUCGUUAGAAGCUCCUAGUAGAGUGGCGAACGGGUGAGUAACGCGUGGAUAACGUGCCUCUCAGUGGGGAAUAACACAGGGAAACUUGUGCUAAUACCGCAUACGUCCUUCCGGCCCAGUCGGAAUGAUGAAAGGUGGGGACCUUCGGGCCUGCCGCUGAGAGAUCGGUCCGCGUCCCAUUAGCUGGUUGGUGGGGUAAUGGCCUACCAAGGCUGUGAUGGGUAGCCGGCCUGAGAGGGUGACCGGCCACACUGGGAUUGAGAUACGGCCCAGACUCCUUCGGGAGGCAGCAGUCGAGAAUCUUCCACAAUGGACGAAAGUCUGAUGGAGCGACGCCGCGUGAGUGAUGAAGGCCCUACGGGUUGUAAAACUCUGUCAGGAGAGAAGAAUCGCCGGGGUGCCAAUACCACCCUGGUCUGACGUUAUCUCCAGAGGAAGCUCCGGCUAACUCCGUGCCUGCAGCCGCGGUAAUACGGGGGGAGCAAGCGUUGUCCGGAAUUAUUGGGCGUAAAGAGCGUGUAGGCGGCCUGGUCAGUCGAAUGUGAAAUCCCACGGCUCAACCGUGGAACUGCGUUCGAUACUGCCUGGCUUGAGUAUGUGAGAGGUGUGCGGAAUUCCUGGUGUAGCGGUGGAAUGCGUAGAUAUCAGGAAGAACACCGAUGGCGAAGGCAGCACACUGGCGCAAUACUGACGCUGAGGCGCGAAANCGUGGGGAGCANACAGGAUUAGAUACCCUGGUAGUCCACGCUGUAAACGAUGGGUACUGGGUUUCGGGGGUCUCAACCCUCUCNGNNNCNUAGCUAACGCGUUAAGUACCCCNCCUGGGGAGUACGGUCNCAAGGCNNAAACUNAAAGGAAUUGACGGGUUCCNNCNNAACCNGUGGAACAUGUGCUUUAAUUNNA